UACAGGGGGUGCAAACGUUGCUCGGAAUUAUUGGGCGUAAAGCGCGCGUAGGCGGCCACUUAAGUCGGAUGUGAAAGCCCCUGGCUCAACUGGGGAAGUGCACCCGAAACUGAAUGGCUUGAAUACAAAAGAGGGCCGCGGAAUUCCCGGUGUAGAGGUGAAAUUCGUAGAUAUUGGGAAGAACACCGGUGGCGAAGGCGACCAUCUGGACGACAACUGACGCUGAGGCGCGAAAGCGUGGGGAGCAAACAGG
RNAcentral lists this ribosomal RNA (253 nucleotides) under uncultured bacterium. RNAcentral's name for it is "partial 16S ribosomal RNA". It matches the Rfam family "Bacterial small subunit ribosomal RNA", at positions 524 to 776 of the family's 1533-position model. The record is from RNAcentral.